UUUUAUAACCUAAACAUUUAUUUAUUUAAAUGUUAUACACGAUUUUUAUACGAGAAAUGGCAACAAUUACAUGCUGUAUGACAAUGAAAAUGCAAGAAAUAUUUAUAGUGAGAAGUUAAAAGAUAUGAAAAUGAAGUGAAGUGAAGUUAUCCUUCACUGGCAUUGAAAAUUAAUGAAUCUUGUCAAUGGUCUGGCUGGUGUUGACAGAAGAUAAAAGAGAGGAACAAUGAUUUUUAAUAAAUUGUAAACAUCAAAAAAUUCCAAAACUAUAUUGUGGUGUUGAAAUCCAGUAAAUUUUCUUGUAAAGCUUGGAGCAUUGCAAAUGUUUGGUGUUAAUGUAUGAGAGUACUUCACAUGUAAACAAUAUUGAUGAAGUUGUCUGCUUAUUUGGGGCCAAAUAAGGAGAGAAAUUUUCUUGGAAAAGAAUCAAAAGCAAUAAAGGAUAGCAUGACAGAAGAAUGCAGAAGGGUUGCUCAGCUAUUAACUUUGCCUUAUAAUCUUUAUUUUUUUC
Macrosteles quadrilineatus (aster leafhopper) is the source of this 511-nucleotide long non-coding RNA. RefSeq lists it as uncharacterized. NCBI's taxonomy places the organism in Eukaryota, Metazoa, Arthropoda, Insecta, Hemiptera, Cicadellidae. The record is from RefSeq and is a predicted model, not a curated record. The transcript is spliced from 3 exons.